RNAcentral lists this ribosomal RNA (465 nucleotides) under uncultured bacterium. RNAcentral's name for it is "partial 16S ribosomal RNA". It matches the Rfam family "Bacterial small subunit ribosomal RNA", at positions 28 to 507 of the family's 1533-position model. The record is from RNAcentral.
GACGAACGCUGGCGGCGUGCUUAACACAUGCAAGUCGAACGGACAGGCCCUGCUUGCAGGGUACUCGAGUGGCGAACGGGUGAGUAACACGUGGGUGAUCUGCCCUGCACUUCGGGUUAAGCCUGGGAAACUGGGUCUAAUACCGGAUAGGAGCCAUUUUUAGUGUGAUGGUUGGAAAGUUUUUUCGGUGUAGGAUGAGCUCGCGGCCUAUCAGCUUGUUGGUGGGGUAAUGGCCUACCAAGGCGGCGACGGGUAGCCGGCCUGAGAGGGUGGACGGCCACAUUGGGACUGAGAUACGGCCCAGACACCUACGGGAGGCAGCAGUGGGGAAUAUUGCACGAGGGGCGCAAGCCUGAUGCAGCGACGCCGCGUGGGGGAUGACGGCCUUCGGGUUGUAAACUCCUUUCGCUAGGGACGAAGCUUUUUGUGACGGUACCUAGAUAAGAAGCACCGGCUAACUACGUG